UACAGAGGUCUCAAGCGUUGUUCGGAUUCAUUGGGCGUAAAAGGUGCGUAGGUGGCGCGGUAAGUCGGGUGUGAAAUUUCGGAGCUUAACUCCGAAACUGCAUUCGAUACUGCCGUGCUUGAGGACUGGAGAGGAGACUGGAAUUUACGGUGUAGCAGUGAAAUGCGUAGAGAUCGUAAGGAAGACCAGUGGCGAAGGCGGGUCUCUGGACAGUUCCUGACACUGAGGCACGAAGGCCAGGGGAGCAAACGGG
This 253-nucleotide ribosomal RNA is filed under the name uncultured bacterium. RNAcentral describes it as "partial 16S ribosomal RNA". It matches the Rfam family "Bacterial small subunit ribosomal RNA", at positions 524 to 776 of the family's 1533-position model. The record is from RNAcentral.